This 667-nucleotide ribosomal RNA is filed under the name uncultured bacterium. RNAcentral's name for it is "bacterial SSU rRNA". It matches the Rfam family "Bacterial small subunit ribosomal RNA", at positions 827 to 1500 of the family's 1533-position model. The record is from RNAcentral.
UCGGAUUGACCCGAUCAGUGCCGCAGCUAACGCAUUAAGUUCACCGCCUGGGGACUACGGCCGCAAGNUUAAAACUCAAAGGAAUAGGCGGGGGCCCGCACAAGCAGCGGAGCGUGUGGUUUAAUUCGAGGCAACGCGAAGAACCUUACCUGGGCUUGACAUGUAGAGGAAACGCUGGUGAAAGCCAGCGCCUCCCGCAAGGGAUCUCUGCACAGGUGGUGCAUGGCUGUCGUCAGCUCGUGNCCGUGAGGUGUUGGGUUAAGUCCCGCAACGAGCGCAACCCCUGUCCUUAGUUGAAUCUUCUAGGGAGACUGCCGGGCGAAACCCGGAGGAAGGUGGGGAUGACGUCAAGUCCGCAUGCCCUUUAUGUNCCAGGGCUACACACACGCUACAAUGGCCGGUACAACGGGUUCCGACACGGCGACGUGAAGGCAAUCCCUUAAAGCCGGUCUCAGUUCGGAUUGUUGGCUGCAACUCGCCAGCAUGAAGUCGGAGUUGCUAGUAACCGCAGGUCAGCACACUGCGGUGAAUACGUUCCCGGGCCUUGCACUCACCGCCCGUCACAUCACCCGAGUCUGGUGCUCCCGAAGUCGCUGGCCGAACCCGUGAGGGACGGAGGCGCCGAAGGAGUGCCCGGUGAGGGGGGUGAAGUCGUAACCAAGGUACC